RNAcentral lists this transfer RNA (64 nucleotides) under Allocarsidara bakeri. Its description in RNAcentral is "tRNA-Pro". The record is from RNAcentral. Lineage: Eukaryota; Metazoa; Arthropoda; Insecta; Hemiptera; Carsidaridae.
AACUAGUAGUUUAAGUUUAAAAAUUUUAGUUUUGGAGACUAUAGAUAAAUAAUUUUUAGUUGAU